Molecule: ribosomal RNA, 441 nt
Filed under: uncultured bacterium
Lineage: Bacteria
Description: bacterial SSU rRNA
Rfam family: Bacterial small subunit ribosomal RNA
Source: RNAcentral
GUACGGGAGGCAGCAGUAGGGAAUUUUCCGCAAUGGGCGAAAGCCUGACGGAGCAACGCCGCGUGAGGGAUGAAGGUCUUCGGAUCGUAAACCUUUGUCUAGAGGGACGAUAAUGACGGUACCUCUGGAGGAAGCCACGGCUAACUACGUGCCAGCAGCCGCGGUAAUACGUAGGUGGCAAGCGUUGUCCGGAAUUACUGGGCGUAAAGGGCGUGUAGGCGGCCUUUUAAGUCAGACGUGAAAACCCUGGGCUUAACCCAGGACCUGCGUUUGAUACUGAAGGGCUUGAGGACCGGAGAGGACAGUGGAAUUCCCAGUGUAGCGGUGAAAUGCGUAGAUAUUGGGAGGAACACCAGUGGCGAAGGCGACUGUCUGGACGGCACCUGACGCUGAGGCGCGAAAGCCAGGGGAGCAAACGGGAUUAGAUACCCCUGUAGUCCC